CACGAUGAUGAGCGGCAACGCAGAGGUGAACGCCAAGACGCGCACGUACACCAACAGGAGAAACGCCCAUGCGCACAUAAAGGGACUGACUCUCGCAUACUGGCUAGGCCGAGUGCCGGGAGGCAUCACCGGCAUCCGUCUGCGCGCGGUGCGCGGCACAGGUGGUGCGGCACGCGCCCGCAUGCCCUCAGGUCUCCUGCUGCUCUGAUUGCCUGCGCGCCUGGAGCGCUGGUGGCGGCGGCGCACAUUCGAUGGUGCCGUCCCCCCCCCUCCCCUACCGGCCAGCGCCGUCACCGGGCCUACGGCACGGCGCGGUUGUCAAGCCGAUGGACAGUGCGACCUAGCCGCUGGUGACGGGCACUGGCGAAGGGGGAGCUCUGCGUGGCACCUGAGGGCAUUGUGGCGCGGGGGCCGCCGAGGAAGCUGCACCACAGCGCGUGAGCCGCGUUGCGCGCGCGCUUGUGGUGCGUUGCGUCCUCGCGACGAGCCUGCGCGCCUGCCGGCGGCAGCAGCAGCGGCCAUGAACCACGAACCGCCACCGAGACCCCCUCCAAGGCCGCUCGGUGAUCCCGGGGCGUGUGUGUGCUCGCGACGGCCGGCGGUGGUGCGCAGUGUGCCUGCGCUGGUGGUGCCGUCGCAUCCCCGCAUCGUCGCCUUCAGCGGUGGCGCUGGCGUGUGCGGCCGUUGUCUGUGCCAUCUCGCCAUGGAGGGGUGCCCACUGCGUCGCUCAGCAUGGCGACCGCUGGGCUGCGGCGCCUCGUCUUGUGCAUGACUGCCGUGUUCAGCCGCGAGCAGGCGUUCGCCCACACGCAGCACACCAUCGACGCUGCUAGCCUCCACCACUUGGUCGGCAUCUCACGGCAACGACGUGGGCGAGCUGUUUGCCGCCGUGCAUCAAGGCCGCGUGUGGGCGGCAAGGUGUACGAAUGGGAAACUGUUGAAGGCAGCGCGGCAGCUGCAGGAGACGUGUGCCGGCCGCGCGCAGCUUCGUUCCGCUCCGCUGCGCAUUUCCCCGGUGCUGGUGGCGGUGGACGCGCGGGGAGAUGAGGAGGUGAUGGGGAAGGGCGGGUGGUGGAUCUGUGCGAGCGCGUGGGUGUCGGGGUGGAGGGGAGUGUGCACUGAUGGAGGGGCACCCUCACGUGCUGCGACCGGCACCCCCGCCCUCCUCGCCCCAUCGCGCGCACACCGGGGGGCGGGGUCGCUGCUGCUCACAUCCCCUGCUCUCUGGCGAUCCUCCUCAUUGUUGUGGUGCAGGGCUGCCGCGGUGCGGUGUCCGUGUGUUUUCCGUCGGUCUGCGCCCGGCGUGUCUCUCCCUGUGGUCCUGCAAUGAGCGGGAUGCGCGGUGACGGCGCGGCGCCGGUGGUGUCGGCGGAUUGUCGCGGCGGUGCCGCCUGUGAGGGCCGCGACGAUGGCGGUGUGUUUGUGUGCUGCUGUCUCCUCCCACGGUGCUGUGAUCGAUGUGUCUUCUGCUGUCGGGGCCUAGGGAGGGGGGGCGGCAGGCAGCGCCAUCUGCCCUCCCCGCUUGGUCGCCGUCUCUCGCGCCUCUGCCUCUCUCCCUCGCUGCCGUUGCGGCGCGCCGCACAUCCACCGGGCUCCCGUCCUGAUCCUUCUCGCUUGUGUGCAUGUCAUCAAGUGGCCCACCUGCUCCCGCUGCGCACGCCUCGCAGUCCCACUUGCCUGUCUCCUCACGACUGCCUCCCUCCCUCACCCCGAUCUCUCUCUCUCCUCGCCUCCUUUCACUCUUGCUCGCGUGGCGCAUCCGCCCACCCCCUCUCACAACGCACGCGCACAAACAAACGCCGACAACGUGCACGUGCACGUGCAACAACAACAAUAAUAUACGUAUAUAUACCUGUUUGUGUGUGUGUGUGUGCUGCCAAG
Molecule: unclassified non-coding RNA, 1881 nt
Filed under: Leishmania donovani
Lineage: Eukaryota; Euglenozoa; Kinetoplastea; Trypanosomatida; Trypanosomatidae
Description: gene:unknown
Source: RNAcentral